UGAGUAACCUGCCCUUCACUCUGGGAUAACUCCGGGAAACCGGGGCUAAUACUGGAUAUGACUCGAACAGGCAUCUGUUUCGGGUGGAAAGAUUUAUUGGUGGAGGAUGGACUCGCGGCCUAUCAGCUUGUUGGUGAGGUAAUGGCUCACCAAGGCGACGACGGGUAGCCGGGCCUGAGAGGGCGAUCGGCCACACUGGGACUGAGACACGGCCCAGACUCCUACGGGAGCA
Molecule: ribosomal RNA, 232 nt
Filed under: uncultured bacterium
Lineage: Bacteria
Description: partial 16S ribosomal RNA
Rfam family: Bacterial small subunit ribosomal RNA
Source: RNAcentral